UAGGGAAUCUUCGGCAAUGGGGCAACCUGACCGAGCAACGCCGCGUGAGUGAAGAAGGUUUUCGGAUCGUAAAACUCUGUUGGUAGAGAAGAACGUUGGUGAGAGUGGAAAGCUCAUCAAGUGACGGUAACUACCCAGAAAGGGACGGCUAACUACGUG
Molecule: ribosomal RNA, 159 nt
Filed under: uncultured bacterium
Lineage: Bacteria
Description: partial 16S ribosomal RNA
Rfam family: Bacterial small subunit ribosomal RNA
Source: RNAcentral